This 339-nucleotide ribosomal RNA is filed under the name uncultured bacterium. RNAcentral's name for it is "bacterial SSU rRNA". It matches the Rfam family "Bacterial small subunit ribosomal RNA", at positions 28 to 368 of the family's 1533-position model. The record is from RNAcentral.
GACGAACGCUGGCGGCGUGCUUAACACAUGCAAGUCGAGCGGUAAGGCCCUUUCGGGGGUACACGAGCGGCGAACGGGUGAGUAACACGUGGGUGACCUGCCCUUAGCUCUGGGAUAAGCCUGGGAAACUGGGUCUAAUACCGGAUAUGACUCCAUGACGCAUGUUGUGGGGUGGAAAGCCUUGUGCGGCUAGGGAUGGGCCCGCGGCCUAUCAGCUUGUUGGUGGGGUGAUGGCCUACCAAGGCGACGACGGGUAGCCGGCCUGAGAGGGCGACCGGCCACACUGGGACUGAGACACGGCCCAGACUCCUACGGGAGGCAGCAGUGGGGAAUCUUGCG